This 566-nucleotide ribosomal RNA is filed under the name uncultured bacterium. Its description in RNAcentral is "partial 16S ribosomal RNA". It matches the Rfam family "Bacterial small subunit ribosomal RNA", at positions 355 to 914 of the family's 1533-position model. The record is from RNAcentral.
UGGGGAAUUUUGGACAAUGGGGGAAACCCUGAUCCAGCCAUCCCGCGUGUGCGAUGAAGGCCCUCGGGUUGUAAAGCACUUUUGGCAGGAAAGAAACGUCGCGGGUUAAUACCCCGCGAAACUGACGGUACCUGCAGAAUAAGCACCGGCUAACUACGUGCCAGCAGCCGCGGUAAUACGUAGGGUGCAAGCGUUAAUCGGAAUUACUGGGCGUAAAGCGUGCGCAGGCGGUUCGGAAAGAAAGAUGUGAAAUCCCAGAGCUUAACUUUGGAACUGCAUUUUUAACUACCGGGCUAGAGUGUGUCAGAGGGAGGUGGAAUUCCGCGUGUAGCAGUGAAAUGCGUAGAUAUGCGGAGGAACACCGAUGGCGAAGGCAGCCUCCUGGGAUAACACUGACGCUCAUGCACGAAAGCGUGGGGAGCAAACAGGAUUAGAUACCCUGGUAGUCCACGCCCUAAACGAUGUCAACUAGCUGUUGGGGCCUUCGGGCCUUGGUAGCGCAGCUAACGCGUGAAGUUGACCGCCUGGGGAGUACGGUCGCAAGAUUAAAACUCAAAUGAAUUGAC